This 441-nucleotide ribosomal RNA is filed under the name uncultured bacterium. Its description in RNAcentral is "partial 16S ribosomal RNA". It matches the Rfam family "Bacterial small subunit ribosomal RNA", at positions 338 to 795 of the family's 1533-position model. The record is from RNAcentral.
CCUACGGGUGGCAGCAGUGGGGAAUAUUGCACAAUGGGGGAAACCCUGAUGCAGCGACGCCGCGUGAGUGAAGAAGUAUUUCGGUAUGUAAAGCUCUAUCAGCAGGAACGAGACAAGACGGUACCUGACUAAGAAGCCCCGGCUAACUACGUGCCAGCAGCCGCGGUAAUACGUAGGGGGCAAGCGUUAUCCGGAAUCACUGGGUGUAAAGGGAGCGUAGACGGCUGAGCAAGCCUGAAGUGAAAGGCGGGGGCCCAACCCCUGGACUGCUUUGGGAUCUGUACGGCUGGAGUACAGGAGAGGUAAGUGGAAUUCCUAGUGUAGCGGUGAAAUGCGUAGAUAUUAGGAGGAACACCAGUGGCGAAGGCGGCUUACUGGACUGUAACUGACGUUGAGGCUCGAAAGCGUGGGGAGCAAACAGGAUUAGAUACCCCAGUAGUC